RNAcentral lists this ribosomal RNA (480 nucleotides) under uncultured bacterium. Its description in RNAcentral is "bacterial SSU rRNA". It matches the Rfam family "Bacterial small subunit ribosomal RNA", at positions 32 to 507 of the family's 1533-position model. The record is from RNAcentral.
ACGACGCUGGCGGCGUGCUUAACACAUGCAAGUCGAACGGUGACGAGGAGCUUGCUCCUCUGAUCAGUGGCGAACGGGUGAGUAACACGUGAGCAACCUGCCCCAGACUCUGGGAUAACAGUUGGAAACAGCUGCUAAUACCGGAUACGAGACGGAGAGGCCAUCUCUACCGUCUGGAAAGUUUUUCGGUCUGGGAUGGACUCGCGGCCUAUCAGCUAGUUGGUGAGGUAAUGGCUCACCAAGGCGACGACGGGUAGCCGGCCUGAGAGGGCGACCGGCCACACUGGGACUGAGACACGGCCCAGACUCCUACGGGAGGCAGCAGUGAGGAAUAUUGGUCAAUGGGUGAGAGCCUGAACCAGCCAUCCCGCGUGCAGGAUGACGGUCCUAGUGAUUGUAAACUGCUUUUCUAUGAGAUGAAUAAGAAUUACGUGUAGUUCGAUGACCGUAUUAUAGGAAUAAGCAUCGGCUAACUCCGUG